UAAUCUGGUUGUUUAUUAAAAUGGCAGACAACAUGUAUAUGUUUAAAAUAUCAUUUGAAAUUUGUUUAUCAGUCAAAAGAAUAAAAUUAAUACGAAAUACAAAGGGGUGCUUUACCCUAGUAGAAAGCAAGAUGAGUAAUCCCUUACUCUGAUUACAAUAAAAAGAACUCCCCUAAUCUCAUUCCUAACUGGUCUAAAAUUUGGCCUAACCAGUUCCUCAUGAUAAAAACUGGUAUGAAGGGCAGUAGCAAAAAACAAGAACCAAAAAAUUGUGUUUAUCUAAACAAGUUAUACGCCUAUGUUAUGUUGGUAGCAAAAUCAUUGCCUCCUCAUCCAGGUAUAAAUAAUACAGAAUGAACUAUUUUGUUGAUUUGGGUUAUAAUUGCCUGCAGAGUGCAUCCCUCUGACUGUUUUCCUUGAGCCCAAUUAACCACUAAUGAUAUACAGUGCCAAUGCCAACUUCUGAUAUCCCAACUAAAGAUUCCAAUUCUUGGCAAUCUGUGAAUUUGGUUGCUGCUUUAACUCAAUACCUGGAACUGCAUAACAACAAAUAAAGAAACCCUUAUGAACUGACAUAACAGUAAUGACAAAACAGUAGAGUGGAAUCUUCAGAGUACAAGGAUGAGUAAACUGCCAUUACAGGGCUAUGUAUUGCAGGAUGCCCACUUUAGCUAUGCUAUGGAUGAAUUUUUUUAAGAAUAAAGAGAUGAACAAGCACCCCAGAAGCAAUAAAUAGAUAAUGUUUACUGUAUAAGCUAGACAUCCUAUUCCAGCUAGCACCUUGCUCGUAUUGGAAUGCUAUAAGCACUGCAAACCGCAGCUACAGAACCAUAAAAAAUAGACCAACAUAUUGGUUAUCUCUCCACCAUCUCAUUGACAUUCCUUCUACCCAGCUUCUUAAAAUUCUUGGCAUAUGGGAGUCCUAAUUAUAACUUCUAAUGCAAAACAUUGGAUUAAGAAUCCAGUCUACGAAAGAAUAAGUAAAGGAAUGCACCUUGUGCUUCAUUCGAAACCAGGAUUUGAGUUGAGCCUUCUGAAACACCUCCUCUGCAUCUACUAGCCCUUUUUUGAAUACAAAAGCACUUAUCUAACCGUUUUCUUGCUAUACAGUGACACGGCAACCAUUGCGUUAAUCAGAUCUUCUGCUUCUUCACCUUCCAAACUGUAAAUUUGCUGAACAAAAAUAUAUAAAGAUUCAUAAAUAUAUGAAAAUCAAAAUUAAUGGGAUAGGGGAGGAUAAAAGAAGAUGAAUGAAUACACUGUAAACAAAGUUCUAAACAAGCAAAGCAAGUCAAGAAAAAUAUGAGAAGGCUAUAAAAAAAUAUAAAAUUCAGUUACCUGUUCAGUGUUCUACUGAUCACAAAAGUCAAGCCACCUAAAUAGUUAGGAGCACCUUCAGGGAUUUCCUCUCAUUCAAAUUCCAUUAUUUUUUUCAACGCAUGCCCUCAUUUCAAUUAAGCCAAUGGAAGCAGAAACUGAACCUGCACAAUUUCAAACCUCACAGAAAUAUCUGCAUUUGAAAAAUGGGAAAAAUCACAAAAAAUAAAGGAAAAUGAAAUAUACAACAGCAUCACACUCACAUUUUUCUCAGACUGGGGUUUAUCCGAAGACAAGAAUAUCGAUAAUAAAACAUUACAAAGACAAGAAGUUGAUGCGUGGAGAAAGUGGUGAACUAGAUACUAAAAUAUUUGCACUAAAUAAGAUUUUAUUUGAAAUGGUUCAAAGAUAGUGUGGAGGAUUGGCACCUGAUGAAAAUGUAGGCAUGUGAGAAUUCGUGUCUUAGGAAUUUCCAAUUUCUGCUUCGUCUUUUAUGUUUACUUGUUCGCCAUCAACCAGUAUAGUUUUAAUGUGAGCAAUCUUUUUCCAGUCUUCACCUCCUUUCUUGCACCGUUGUUUGAGCAAUGGGCAACAUUCAAUUUGGAGAGUUGAAAUGGAUUUGGGCAGACCCUCCUCUGGGAAGCAUUGGAGUAUUGGACAAUUAUGAAUAACCAAUUUCUGAAGAGAGGAGAGGUCAAAGAAAUCCCUGUAGUUCAGUUUCUUAAGUUUUGGACAAUCGUUUAUGCGUAGCUCAGUAAGAGAGAAAGAUAGAAAACCAUUACAUGGAAAACACUCCACUUCCUGUUUUUGAACAGACAAAAGUUCUAUGGAAGGAUCAUUGGUUUCCGGAAGCCACUUCUUUAGUGAGGCAACAAGUUUGGAACAUUUCAAGAAAUACAUUUCUUUUAGAUUUGGUGGCAAACAUCCCUCAGACAACUCCACUUCUGGACAAUCAUAUAUAUACAUAAAUAUAAGAGAUGGAAGGAGGGCAGACAUGCGUUUAGGCAAUGAUUUCAAUUUAUCCAAUUUUUUAAUCCAAAUUCUCUCUAUCUGCGGUGCAAAUAAUCCUUCAUUGGGAAAUAAUUCAAAUUCAGAGCAUUUUUGAAUUGUCAGAAUCUUCAAAUGACCAUGAGGGUGUCCCUGUGAUAUCAUUUGUAGGUUAUGACAUUCGUUAAAACAAAGUUGACGGAGUUUUGGAAAUAAGUCUAGAGGGAAGAUCGUGAGAGAGUCACAAGAUUGAUUGAUAUUCAAUACUACAAGAAAAUGGUAGUAAUGGUUUAUGGGAAUGUUCAUGCCCGAACAAGAAUAAAUAUUCAAGGAUUCAAGAGAAGUAUCAGAUACGAGGAGCCCUAUCAUAUCAAAUAGAGAUGUCUUCGUCUUCACACCUUCAACUUCUACCACCCUUGGAGCUGAAGCCCCAAAUUGUUCACACUGUCGAAUACUUAGAUUCUUUAAAUGAGGAAGGUGCUCUGGCAAGUGCCCUUUGAGUUUGGGACAUUUCCACAAAAUAAGACUUUGAAGACUUGGAAACGCACCUGUUACGCAUUGCCAUUCUUCCCAUUCCGUCAUAUCCUGAAAGUUCAACUUUUCCAAGGAUGAAAAAGCAGAAGAGCUAAACCCGUAAAAAUCAACAUCUAUCCUUACUAUCUGACGAAGGCCGGUAAUUUUCAAGUCCUUGAGAGAUGUCAAAAGUCCAAGGGAAGGCAACCAUUGACAAUAUUUACAGUUAUUCAAGUUUAAGGACACCACAUUCAUUAGAAGUUUAUGAGAUAACCAAUGUGGAAAUUGUGUGCCAUAAUAGUUCAGGAUUGAGAAAUGCUCCAAAUGUCUGGAAGGUUGCAGAUUCUCAAGUACUUCUCUUUCUUUUAUUGAAUCCUCAUUGUUUCGGUUUAAAUUCCAUUCUAAAUUUAACCCCACAAGAUAUGUUUUAUUCUUCAAAUCAGCAGCCAAUGCAUCACAGGGACUCACGAUAUUUUCAAGAUUUUGAAUUGAUAGCUUUCCAUGAAGAUCAAGUUGUCCUAGUUGUUGAAUACUAAACUCAUUACUACUUUUUCCAACCCUAAACCCACCCGUCCAUACUUGAAGAUUCUUCAACUUUCCUGAAAGCACUAGACCUUUUCUUAAGGUAGUUCCCCUAAGUUCAAGGCGACGCAAAUUAGGAAGUUCAUCCAAAGUCGAGGGCAAUUCCUGCAAAUUGAGACAAGUGUUUCAACACUUGCAAAUUAUAAAGUGAACAUGUUGAGUCAGGAAGCCUCUUUAUAAUGGUACCUGAAACGUCUAAUGAACGGAGAUGUAUAAGAUCGGCUAUAGUGUCAGGAACCUCUUCUAUGUAAGUACAACUAGACAAAGAUAAGAGUCGUAAGAACUUAAAGUUUGAGAUCAACUCUUGUAUUGAUAUCCCACAAGUCCUAAAUGUGGAAAGAAAUGUUCGUAGCCUUUUAGCAUCACAUACACUCCAAUACUCAUGACCUUCACUACGAUUCAUUAUAGCUGAAAAGUGACGGGUUGCCUUUGGUACACUUCCUCGUCUAUCAACACCCAACCUGUAGCAAAUUUCGCCAGAAACAUAUUUUGCUAAAUCAUUCAGAAGGUCGUGCAUCACAAAACAUGGUUUGUUAUGCAUUAUGUCUUUUGUAAUUGAAUGUUGAAAGAAUGACCUUGAUAAUAGAUCGUUGAAGUAUUGUUCACCUACUUCUUCUGGAGACUUACUCUGUUGAGAGCAUUGUAAAAAAUUUUCAGCCAUCCAUGAGAGAAUUAAGUUGUCCUUGUCAAACUUAUGGCCUUUGGGAAAUAACGCACAAUAAGCGAAACAUCUCUUAAGAUGAGAAGGAAGAUGGUAAUAGCUCAAUAACAAAGCAGGGAUUAUUUUACUAUCUGCUAUUGGUAAGUCCCAUAUGUUACUUCUCAGUACACCUUCCCACUCUGCAACAAAUGACUUUGACUGUAAGAGACCUCCUACCGUUUCAAGGGCCAGAGGCAGUCCUUGACACUUUUCAACUAUCUUCAUGCCAAUCUCCUUUAACUCAGAAUUCAACUUAGAGUUGUCAUCUUUCCCUACAUGUUUAGCAAAAACUUGCCAGCUAUGAUCUUUUUGUAAUUGCUUUAGUUGGUGUAUAUGGUUUGACUCUAAGGUAGAAGCAACUUUGUUACUACGUGUGGUCACGAGAAUUUUACUUCCCUUAACUCCAUAUUUAAGAGGAGUUUGCAAUGCUUUCCAUUGGUCUCGGUCUUCAUUCUAGACAUCAUCCAAAACCAGGAGAAACCUUUUUCCUUUCAACAAUUCUUUCUUUCAAUCGUCCCUGAACCAUUUCUAGGUUUCUGCUAUCAUCAGUUGACUUAUGAAUUGCCUCAAGAAUUGCUCUGGUUAACUUGAAAACAUCAAAUUCAUCAGAAACGCAGACCCAUGCUUUGAUAGCAAAUUUAGUCUCCAUCAUUGGGUCGUUGUAUACAUGUUGAGCAAGUGUGGUCUUACCCAUCCCGCCCAUAGCAACAGUAGAAACUAUUGAAAGAUGAUUAUGAUUUCCAUUAUCUGAUGUUAGCCAAUUAACGAUCUUUUCUUUGUCCUCAUCUCUGCCAUAAAUAACGUCCUCAGCCACCAAUGAUGAGGAUUCAUUUCUUUUCCCUGACACAUUAUUACCCGACCCAGAUCCAACACCACUAGAAAUUUUGAAAUCUUGAACAAGCUUUUGGUCUAAGAGAGAUUCUAGAUCUUCUAGGAGUUCUAUCAUAUUGGAUUCAAAACUGCUUACCUUGCUACCACUGCUCUGAAAUUCAGAUUUCAACUCACUUUUGAAGAAUUCAUAGUCUAUUUGCUCCAACAGAUCCUCCGCAUUAUACAACGCGUCUCUGACCUCAUGAAGCCAUUCUUUGACCAAUGAAUUAGUGAACUGUUUUUGUUCUGCAUCAUCAAUCACAGCAUUGAUGUCCAUCAGCUUCCUCUUCAACUUUUUCAGCAUCCUCACAUCCAGCUUUCUCCCACCAAAGUAGUCGAGAAGUUGAUGAGAAUCGAGCUUGUCAAACAGGACUUGGAGAACAGCACCAAAAAGAGCACCACCAAGAGUUUCUAAGACUGGCAUGGUUUGAAGGGAAGGUUGGGAAAAUAAAGAGAAGAAAGGGUUGUGAAAAUUGGAAGUGCAGCUUAGUUAUGUGAAUGAAGGAGUGAGAAAAGUUAACGAGUGAGUCAUAGUUGAUUAUUCCGACAGCACCAAGUGGGUUUCAUAACAUAAUAUUUUCUACCAACUUUAGUGAAUUAGUCUUUUUCAAAGGCUAACUUUAUGAAUAAACACACCCAACCCACUUAUAACAUCUGACAUGACUAUGAAAUGGAUUCAUUUCCCAUUUUGUUCUUUCUUUUAGCAGAAGUGGUUCCUUAUUAAGAAUGAGUUUAUGUGAAUAAAGCAGUGAUGGCCAAAACUAUGAAAUGUGAUAUCUAUGAAUUUAAAUGACUAAGUGAUGAAUAAAAUAAAACCGCAAUGGUUCACCAUCUUCCGUAAUUUCAGGCAUCACAUCACAACGCGUGCUCACUUACUUGAAGAUGGCGUUUGGCCAAAAAGCAAAAGGAAAAAAAGAAGAAAAAUAGUAUAUGAAAGUUUGAAGUUACUAUACCUCUCCCUAAUCAAAUGUACAAGAAAUAAACAUUAGUAAACAUAUAAACUACGUUUCAUAUGUUUCAUAAUUAAUUUAUAUUAUAAUAGAAAAUCAUGCCUAAUUUCAUAAAAAAACAAUUUAAAAUAAAAAUGAAAAUAACCCCACAUUACCAUUAUACUUUCGAAAAAUUUGUUUGCGCUGCACUUGUUAAAGUCUUGUGUGAGAAGUAUGCGAUUGGAUCAUGUUGAAACAUCCACAUUUAUCUCUAUAAACUCUAGCUUUGUCAUCACCACAUUUAGUGUUUGCAAAAGCAUCUCCUUGCCGUGAGCAAUAUAAAUCAAACAUUGGUCUUGGUGCUUAGUGUUCACCUUAGGUUUCUUUGUUUUCUCGCCGGUUGACCUCGAUUGGACUGGAUGGAGAGCUCCGCUUCUGAUCUGUCUUCUCUUGAUGCUUUGGAAUGUGGCUCCAUUGGGAUAGAGGGGUUCUACGUGUUGAUCACACUCUGACGAUCAAGUCAGUGAGAGCAUACAAAAUAAGUAAUCAGUUUCAUUCUAAAGUACUCAGAAACAACAUACCUUUAUCGGGGGUCUCAAGCCUCUUUUAUAGUUAUCCCUUUAACAGCUUUCACUUACAAGAAUAUAAUCUCAACUGAAAGCAUAUACAAUAAAAAAAUACUCUGCCUACGGGCACCUUGUCUCACGGUGCUAACAACAAAAGAGAAUCCCGUACAACUUUAUUCAUGGGUGUUGACUACUUAAUUAACAACUUUAUUCAUAUAUUCUAUAUUGCCGAUCAAAAAAAAAAAAUUCAUAUAUUCUAACAACUUUUACAUAUAUUAACAUAUAUAUUUGACUAACAGCUUUAUAUAUACUAACAUAUAUAUUCAACUAACGGCUUUCAUAUUAACAUAUGACUAAACUCAAUAUUUUCCCUACUUUAAUUAUUCCUAACCGUGCUUAUCAUUAAAGUUGGGGCGAGCUCAUGAACUGCUUUUGGGCCCAAAACUGAGCCGACCAUAUCCAAAUGCCUGGACCGAAGUCCCGAGCACCCCUAUCCAGUACAUAAGCCAUAGGCUCGAGCGGAGAUUGACUUGCCGAAGAGGCUUUCUAGCAUUCGAUGGCUGAUGCGACGUUUCCUCAGAAAGUAGGUGAGACGCGAUUGCCAAAGCGACUCCUGAUGGGACACCUUAUUAGAUUGAAUAUGCAGCGUCCACGUGGCGUGGCAUCAACGAUCGACAUUUCCUAUCGUUUCAACUUCUCCAAACUUUCAAAACAUCCAUUUCCCCUUUUCUUUCUCUACAUCCGCUACAAAGCCAUGUACUUUUAGGCCAAAAAGGACCUUUUAAAAGAAACCUCUUUCUAUACCACCUGUGAAUGUAUUAGGGGUUUAAGAAAGAGUGGUUGCACCUUUGGUAAGAGGCACGAUAGGUUUGUAAGAAUAGCAGAGUGUAGGAAAGAUGAGCCCGUAUGUUGUGAUGAAUCCUCGGACCCCGAGGGUCCAUUCUGUUUCUUUUAUACUACCUUUUUUAAGAAAGUCCUUUUACGUCUUCCUUUGUCGAUUUUUGAAAAUGAAUUGUUAACCGAGCUCAACGUAGCUCCUGCCCAGCUACAGCUAAAUAGCUGGGGCAUUCAUUUGUGCCUUUACUAUUUUGUGUUCACAACUCAGAAUUUCGUCGACUGUGGAAGUUUUCCUUUACUUCUUUGAGGCCAAGCAUUCAAGCUGCCAAUUAUGGAUAUCCUUCAACGGUGCCCCUGGAAGAGCUUUGCUCACACUCUUCCAGUCUUCUUACAAAAAUUUCAAGGGCAAGUUCCUAAAAAUCCGAGCUACCAAAGGAGAUCAAAUCCUUCUGGACGAGUUUCCUUUAUACUGGACCCCUGAACCAAGAUUCCAGAGUGCUCGACACCUGGACGACUUGUCCCAACGAGAUCAGGGAGUAUGCGAAUUCUUAACGAACCUAAAGGUUGUUUUUGACACUUCCUUCCUCUUGAACAAAGAGUACCUUCCUGGUGUUUUGAAAGCCUAAACUGGUACUCCUCGUUUCAUACCUUUGGUAACAUAAACUCCAUUACCGUGCUUAACCACUAUUUUGCAGUAAGGAUGUUAUCCGACAUCAGGAAAUCGGAAAUGGUUGAACGUAUUAGAAAGAUGAGAGUUGCUACCAGCCUUAGCAAGGAUUCUCCAACUCAAAAAAGGAAGGCCAUGAUCGAGGUUGCUCCCACCCCAUCCGAUGAGGACGAGCACACCAAUUCGGGCUUUGUUUUCAAGAGAAAAAGAUGAGAAGUCGCUCCCCCCACUGAACACUCCAACUCAGAUGGUCGAGCUCCACAUCAGGAGUUUGUCACCAUCCAAGAGUGUGAGGCUGAAAGCUCCCACAUGAAGAGCUUAUGGGAUGCUGGUUUUGAUGCUCUCGCUCACAAUAGGCCUCAUUUCUUAUUCCUAAAGAUAAAGCCAUAUUAUCUGCUCAAGUUAAAGAUCUCCUUCGUCACGAUUCUUUGAAGUUGUUCAGUCAAUCAUUUGUCUUGGCUUGCUUGGCCGAUGACAAAGCUCAAGAUCGCCAACCGUCUGAAGAACGGAAAUCCAAGGAGAUGCUAGAGCUUCGCAAGAGGAUAGACCACCUCAAAACAAAGAACAACCAACUCAAAAACUUGCGCAAGAAAGUUGAACAUCUCUACACCGAGAAAACUCAAAGCCCUGCUCGAAGAGAGGAAUAAGCUGCUACCUGAGAUAGAAAAUCUGAAGAAGGUGCCACCAAGAGAAUCGAAUCCCUCAAAGAUGAUGUUACCCGAUCCUUCUUGGAUGGCUUUGAGAUGGCUUUGGAACAAGAAACCGUAGUACAUCCAACCCUUAACCUCUCCGCCUUAGACCUGGGUAAAACCAUGGUCGACGGCCAAUUAAGGGAGGAGUAAUUUGAACGUUUAAUAUUUUCCUUACCUUACCUUACCUUACAAACCGUGGUCUGUAAUAUGCUAACUUUCCUUACCAUUUGAACACUUUAUAUUUUUAUGAGUACUUUACUUAUUGCCUCUUAAUCACUUUAACAUAUACAACUAUUUUAAAACCUUUACGAAUGCAUGUCACGAUACUUAACUUAUCAUAUAGCAAAGUUCGACUAUCAAUACACAUUCGGAUACUCUAUUACUCUAAUAUACAAAAUGACUUUAUGUCAAUAAAGGGUGAUGACAAAAAAAGCAGUUGAUGUUUAUAAUUACAAUUUUAUAGAAAAGAAAGUGAUAUAUUUGCAAAACUAUGAAAUGUGAUUUCUAUAGCUACUUUUGUACCGCCCAGGUAGUCGGAAUUGAUGACGUGGCCGCAAGCAAUAGUAUAGGCGUGUUGAACGGGACACCUGGCUGGCAGAAGGGAAGGACGUCGGGGGGCUCGUGUGAUCGCCAGUCGUUAAGUUGGCGUGUCCCGAUCUCUAGCAUACCUAAACCGACGGUCACCAAGUUUGUGUCGUAGUCGCCGGGUGUGAACCCAGGUGACAAGGCGAUCGGAGAUCGCCGAGAGGAGGACAUCGCCGAAGGAUCAGGAAAGCUUGUUCCAGGCUUUCGAAGCAAAGGAUGAGGUCGUCAGAUGGUCAUUCCCUAGCUGGCCAGAGGUUGAGGUCGGGGAACAGCUUACCCGAGCAUGCACAGUGAAGUAAGUAAAGUAGAAUAUAAUGGCGGCCGGCGAGACCACAGGGAAGGUGUGUAUGAAGACACCCGUACUCGCCACGCAGAAGAGAUCGCGCUCCAAGGCAGUUAUACGCUGAGUUGCUUCCUGCAUAAGUAACUUAGUCGAAAAGCCUGAAGAGUAAGAGGUGACGCUCAAGUCAAGGAUGCUCCAGAUGGUGACACGUGUACAGCUGGAUGCGAGCCACGUGUCCAGAUGUGUAACUGUCAGGAGAGAGAAAGCGCACAAGUAUACAAGGGAUCCUAACGAACUUCUGAGGUACGCGCGUUUUAGAAUACUUCUUUUACGCUUGCGAGAACUUGAGUACGCUGAGAGAGAACAUUGCACGGUUCCUGAAGUUCUUAGUUUUCUCUUAGUAUUUUGGUGGUUCAGUCGCUGACUUGGGCGUCGGAGCGUGAUCGGCCGCAGCGGCGCCGUUCUGUCUUUUGCAGGUUCUUGAGGUGAAUCAAGGCGAAGGACGGAAGCUAGCACGGUGCAAAGUCGAUCCAGAUUUGACGAGGCAAGGCUCUUGCGUUCUGGUCAACAGGCAGGAUCAUCAGGCGCCCACCGUGGGACUUGAACCCACGACCACAAGGUUAAGAGCCUGGGCGGUACUUUAAUGCAUUUAGUGAAUUUGGAUGGCUAACUGAUGAUUAAACUACUUUAAUUCCCAGUGAUGAUGUGUGGUUAUAGGUUGCUGUGAAGUAUUUAUAAAACAUUCUAUGCAACAGAUUUUUACUAUUAAUUUUACAUGAUUAGCUCAAAAUUAUGGAAAAUAUUAAUACUAUAGUAAGCCUCAAGGAAAUGCCUUUUUUCCUGUGAUACAGUGAGCUUAGUGUUUGCAAAAGCAUCUCCUUGCAGUGAGCAAUAUAAAUCAAACAUUGGUCUUUGUGCUUAGUGUUCACCUUAGGUUUCUUUGGAAGACAACUCUAUUGUUUGUUUAAUAAUCCCAAACAAUAAAGGACUUUUUCAUCAGACAUUUUACAAGUAAUUUAUUUUGCUGUUAAAUUAGUGUGACCUCUGGCAUUACCUCACCCAACAAUAUCCUCAUAAUUUGGUUUUUUUAAUUAAAUAUGGAAAACAACAUAGGUUUAAAAUAUGCAAAAAUCAAUGCCUCUUCAUCCAGGUAUAAAUAUUGCAGAAUGGACUAUUUUGUUGAUUUGGGUUAUAAUUGCCUGCAGAGUGCCUCCCUCUGACUGUUUUCCUUGAGCCCAAUUAAGUUUGCAGUGCAAUUCCUUAACCACUAAUGAUAAACAGUGCCAAUGCCAACUUCAGUUACCUGUUCAAAUAGUUAGGAGCACCUUCAGGAACUUCCUCUCCUUCAAAUUCCAUUCUUUCUUUCAACGCAUGCCCUCAUUCUGGAAACACAAACUGAACCUGCACUCCAAUUUCCAACCUCACAGAAAUAUCUGCAUUUGAAAAAAUGGAAAAAA
This 10985-nucleotide long non-coding RNA is filed under the name Phaseolus vulgaris (common bean). Its description in RNAcentral is "long non-coding RNA (PVUL_LNC000439)". The record is from RNAcentral. Lineage: Eukaryota; Viridiplantae; Streptophyta; Magnoliopsida; Fabales; Fabaceae.